Molecule: ribosomal RNA, 264 nt
Filed under: uncultured Planctomycetota bacterium
Lineage: Bacteria; Pseudomonadati; Planctomycetota
Description: uncultured planctomycete partial 16S ribosomal RNA
Rfam family: Bacterial small subunit ribosomal RNA
Source: RNAcentral
AGCACGUAGGUGGGUUUGUAAGUCAGAUGUGAAAGCCUCCUGUUCAACGGGAGAAUUGCAUCUGAAACUACUGAUCUUGAGUGUAGGAGGGGAGAAUGGAACUUCUGGUGGAGCGGUGAAAUGCGUAGAUAUCAGAAGGAACGCCGGCGGCGAAAGCGAUUCUCUGGCCUAUUACUGACGCUCAGUGUGCGAAAGCUAGGGGAGCAAACGGGAUUAGAUACCCCGGUAGUCCUAGCCGUAAACGAUGGGCACUAAGUAGAGGGG